This is a long non-coding RNA of Sander lucioperca (pikeperch), 2023 nucleotides long. RefSeq lists it as uncharacterized. The record is from RefSeq and is a predicted model, not a curated record. Lineage: Eukaryota; Metazoa; Chordata; Actinopteri; Perciformes; Percidae. The transcript has 3 exons.
UCUAGUGGGGAGGAACUGUGGGGUGAACAACACACACAAAGAGAUAGACAAAGCGGGGAGAGGCAUUUAAGACUAAAACAAUGGUUUGCCUCUGCAUCUGACCCUAGAAAAAGGAAGUCAGGAGAAGAGCAAAACAGUUAAAGAGAGAGCAAAGGCAGCAAGGGCAAAUGGGGAAAGUAACCAAGAAAGGACAUCAGCACACACAUCAGAUGCUUCAUGUUUUACCAUCUGUACGUUAUCAACACAGUGGGUCACACUCACAGUUGUUUCUGUACAAUGAUACUGACAAGUUGUCGUCCGUCAGUCUGAAAGGCGCUUAGGUCAAGAGAGCAGUGGAGAAGACUUAGAUGGAAAGACUGACAUACUUCUAACCAGUGCUGAGGCCUUACCUGGCUCGGCCUCUUUAACAAACAUUGUCCAUGAUGUCUGAGUGAUUAGAAAACCACCAGAGGACCCACUAUAAAAGGUAACUGUGCAGAGGUACUGUAUCUUCCUGCUUACCAAAACUCUGUAAUGUCUCUGUAGCAUUAUUAACUGUAAUAUUCUUCAUUCUUUAUACAAAUAAAUGUACCUUCUACAUUCCUUUCAUUCCUUUUUAUUGUAUUAAUCAAUGUAUCAACUGUUAUCCUUCAGUGAGGUGAACCAAAGUCAGUGCACCUUCAAUGCAUGCAUUGCUGUCAUUAUCACCCAUUUUCUGAGACCGGAAUAAACAUUCUCUCGCAGGUGACACGACGACAGUGCAAGGGCUGAGAGAAACUGAACCGUAUCAGAACAAAAGGAACAGCAAUUUAUAUUAUAUGUAUAUGUAGAUCUCUAGUCUCAAGUUAGAAUUUAUCUUUAAUUAUGGUAAUCAUUGUGACAGAACAUUUAACAGGCAUUAUGUCAAGUCACCAACAUGAACUAUGUUUUAGCACUACACCGGCUUCAUGAGAUUCAUGUGUAGUAUUUCCCCAGUGUGACUAUGAAAAUAUGCUGGAAAAUCCACCUAAAACCAAUUUAUGAUUGUCAUAUAUUGCUAUCUUGCUGGGCAAACUGGUUUAAAAACCAGGCCAAUGCUUAUUUCUCAUUUGUUUUUAUUACAGAAUGUUGUGUUCCUGUUUAUGUAAAUUUAAACUCAGCACAAAAUUGUGACUUGCAUGAAGCGCUGAGUUGUUCAAGUUCAAGUUAUGUUGGGACUUUGAAAUAGGUUCCAUUGGAAAAGUCACAAUCCAAAACAAGACAAAAUAGCCUAAAUGUGAAUGGAGUUCACAUCCAGGCACUUUGAUCAAUCUUUUCUGCUGUUUGGUUAUUUGAAAGGAGAGCUUGGACUGUUACAUUUCAUGCUGAGUGAUUUUACAAGAACAUAAGAUACUGCAAGGCCUGUUUAUUUAUGGAACUAUUGCACUUGAGCAGCCAUGUAUCCAUCCACUGUACAGUGAGUUUAAGCUCCUCCUAAAAGCUUUGGUUUCUGUAGAAACAGGAAAAGGAAGCCCUAUUAGUUCAAGCCGUGAGUUUUUAUUAAGGCUGCUGUAUAUUUGUAAUGUAAAUUACCCUUGCAUUUGUCUUUUUUGCAAAAACUAAAUCUCACUUUUAAGAUUUGUGUUACUAAAGUGAGAAAGAAAACUUUGACCUUACAUAUAUUGUCUUUAUGAAUGAUUUUUUUUCCAGAUCUUUCAGGAUUUCUUAUCUGGCUGUGUCUCAAUUACAACUAUAUUUGUAUCUUGUUCUCCUUUAAUACACCCACUGAUACAAGAAACACACUUUAAGAGACACGCACAAACACAUUCAAAACGUUAUAGCAAUUUUUUCUUCUUCUUUGUUUUCCCCCCUUUUUGCACUAGCUGUGCUAUUGGAGGUCCUUUUUGUAUUCCACUUCAGGCCCUUUCUCCUACUGCCAUCCAGUGGUGACUUGUUGCAAUCAAACAUGAGGAGCAGCAUGCCAUCGCUCUGGUUCUUGGAUAUAAACAUGAUCUAUCCAUAUUUAGCAUGGUUGUUUGUGAUAUAUUAUGUUUACCAGUCUUUGUUUUAGUUCUUAUAAUUGGGA